Molecule: non-coding RNA, 45 nt
Filed under: Schistosoma mansoni
Lineage: Eukaryota; Metazoa; Platyhelminthes; Trematoda; Strigeidida; Schistosomatidae
Source: RNAcentral
AUUCAGCUGAUGAGUCCCGAAUAGGACGAAACGUGCGUCCUGGAU